This is a long non-coding RNA of Felis catus (domestic cat), 6212 nucleotides long. RefSeq lists it as uncharacterized. The transcript is spliced from 3 exons. The record is from RefSeq and is a predicted model, not a curated record. NCBI's taxonomy places the organism in Eukaryota, Metazoa, Chordata, Mammalia, Carnivora, Felidae.
CAACCAACCGGGCUGAGGACCUGGGGCUGGGCGGGCGCAAGCCCAGGCCUCCCGCCGAAGGCGCUGACAGCUCAAUUCCCGCCACAGGCCCUGCCAGCUCUCUGGCUGGGAGGGAAGAGAUGACAGUGCCACCACCAGGGUCCUGGCCCCACUGCUUUCCCCGGUGAUGGCAGGGCCUCCCGUGACCUCUCUGCCGACCCUCCAGUCUGUUCUCUUCUGCACGGUAAGUAAGACACCUCAGGGUCCAUCUGUGGCAACCACACAGUGGCUCUGUCUCAGAGCUAAGGCCACGGGCCCUACAAGGCCCUCAAUUGCCGGCUCUGGCCUCCUUUCUGCCACCUUUGUCCCCACCCCCAUCCCCUGUGUUCCUGCCCCAGCCACACUGGCCUCCUUGCCAGGCCUCAAACACAUCAGCUACGUUCCCACCUCGGGACCUUUGCACUGGCCGGUCCAUCCUCCAGAUAGCUGUGGGGCUCGCUGCCCCACCCCAACCCUUUGCUUCAGUGUCAGUGUCACCUGUGCAGUGGGGACCCUGACGACAACAGUUUCAACUUGCCCCCACGUGUCUCUCUCUCUCCCCCACUCGCCUACUUGGAGCUUCCCUGCGGCGCUGACCACCCCGAACAGUCUCUCUUGUGCUUCCUGUCUGGCUCCACCUUCUAGAGCCUCAGCUGCACGAGGGCUCAGACUCCGUGUUUCCCCCCUACGUCUGGCACAUAGCAGGGGCGUAAUGAACGAAUGAGCAAAUUAAAAAACAAACAAAUCAGCCGGCUCAGGGGGCGGCCAGCGCGGCUUGCCCCCGGGAGCCCAGCCCCGCUCCUGGCGUAGGUGAUCGGUGUGCCGGACAGGGUACCUGUGCCAGGCGCCCGGGCCCGGGCCUGGUCCCACUCCAGGCGCAGCGCCGUCAGCAGGAAGCAGCCCCCGCCCAGGGCAACGACAAAUGCACAGCACAGGAAACUCUGCUGGAGGCUGAGGAAGGCCUGCAGGUAGGAGUCUGGGCGCCCGGCCCUCAGGGUGCUGGACACCUGCAGCGAGAGGCCGGCCUUGGUGGUUCCCCCCCCCCCGCCACGCCCACCGAGGAGCCACCCCUCCCCUCCACCACGCCCACCGAGAAGCCACUCCUCACCAGUCCAGUAAGGUAAGGGCUGCUGGCGUCCCCCAGGAUGUGGCCCACUGUGAUCUGCAAAGCCUCUGCUGUCCCCCGGCACCUGGGCACCACCACGGACUGCAAAACACAGGACACCGGGGCAGCCCCCAAGCAAGGGCAGAGUGUGGGUGCCUCUGGUCCCCCCCCUGCCAAGGACCUGCCUGGAGGGCAGCUGGGCUGGCCGAGCGAGUGGGAAGGAAGGGGGUCAGCAAAGCCCCAGCACUAGGACGUCAGGCCCCUCCGAGGGAUGGGGGCGCCGAGGCCCCUGAUGAGGCCUGCUCUCGAGGGUUUGCUCUCGGAUGGGUCAGGGACCAGGCCUGGCUCUGACUCAUGGUGACGGGGCCGGGGCGUCCCAGCUCAGGGCCCAGGAGGCGGGCCGGCCUGGCCGGGAGAGGACGCACGGCCGGGUGUCUGUGUGUGUGGGCGCUGGGCUCAGUGGCACCAAGGGCUCAGCCCCUGUCUCGGGAAGUUCGAGCCCCGCUGGGUGGACACACAGUGGCACACAGCGUGGCUGGAGAGACCCCCGCGACCCCAUGGAGGGGGGUGGGGGGUUAAGAGCGUGAAUUCCGAAGUCAGGAAUGUCUGGGUUCCAAUCCCACUCGCUGGCUGUGUGCCUUCAGGCAAGUCACUGUGCCUUUCUGUGCCUCAGCCUCCCCAUCGCCACACGGGGAUGAUAACUGUAGCUGCUGGAGGGAUGUGCUCGUGGCCAUUCUUCCUCUGGUACGGAGGCUUCGUGGGGACGUCAGACCGAAAUAGUGCCCUUUGGCCCCAGGAGGCAGAGGGUUUCCAGACACUUGAAGGUGGUGUGGCCUCUGCCUGCCAGGCCCUCCCCGCUCAGGUCCAGCUGGAGCAUCUCCACCGGUCUCUCGGGACUGAGCUCCCAGAGGUCAGAGGCCUGCCCUGAGCUCCCACAGCCCCCGAGCGCGCCCCUAACUGAACACACAGCCCCCACGCUGGAAGGUUCCCCCUUCGUCCCCCCCAACACACACCCCUACGUCGUCUGGACGGCAAAGCCCCUGUCGGAGUUCUCUGGAGGUUCCUGGAUUACAGGCCCAGGAACAGACUACGCGAAAGUCUGCCAAGCAAACGAGUCCAGUAGAACCAUCUGGAAGACCAGUCCCAAGACAAACCCAGCCAGAAGCCAGGGUUGCAGCAGGGGAGGGGAGGGGAGGAGCAGGAGGAGGGGUCCAAGCAGAGGCCAGGCGGUCACACAGUCCUAAAGGGGAGCUCCCCACCCCAGAGCCCCAUCCCCGACACCUAGUGGAGGAUAACAAUUAGCGUUUAUUGAGUGCCUCGUGCAUGCAUUUUAUGCAUCUCAUGUAUACAUUUUACAGAUCCACUCAACCACCCCACGAGCGAGGUAUGAUCGUCAUCCAUGGGUCCCAGAUGAGGAAACUCUCCGCAGGAAGGGAAGUAACCUGUCCACGGUCACCCAGCCAGGAAACAGCAGGACAGGCAUUUGAGCCUCCGGGAUCUGACCUUUGACCACUUGGCUGUUAGGAGCAGGGAGGAGCCUGUCCAGCAGUGUCUGCUAUGGGACACUUGGAAACGCGGAAGGACGAGGAGGGCAAGCUCACGCAGCCCUGCACGUGGGCAACUGGCAGAGAGAGCAGGGAAGGGCGUCCCAGGCGGGGAACAGAGUGAGCAGAGGUGUGAGGCAGGGGCCCAGCGCCUGGAGCCACAGGACGGGCAGGCAGGGCCAGGCAGCAGGAGUGGGUGACAACUGGCUGCCCCCGGUCACUGACACUGACACUCUGUCCAGGUGGCGAGAGAGGGUGAAUCUCUAACCCUGACUGGGACCUGCCGACGGGCCAGAGAAGGAGCUGACCGUGGCUUUGCACCUUCAGGGAGUGCUUCCCCCUUGCCUGUAAUUAUGUGAUUACCCACGGGUGGCUCUGGGGGGACAAGCAGGUGACUCCUAGAGGGUGGGCCCCGCAUGUCUGGAAAAGUCCUUGCCGGCUGCUUGGACCCUCAGAGUAAAGUCCAGACAGCUGGUCCUUCCCACACCCCCCAGGAGCUGCUGGGCCCAGACCAAGACAGGUCGGUCCCCUGCCCGUUCUGGGUCCUGCUGCCUCCAUGUGGGGGGGCCAAAGCUGGCCCUGCCCACAGCUGGAGAGCCCAGCAGGUAAUUUUAGACGUUACAGGCUUUGGCUUCCUAAAACUGCUCACUCUAUUCUGAGACAAAGCGCCUCUGUUUCUGACUUUCCCUUCUCAGAAGAGCUGUUCCCUUUCCAGCCUGGGACAUAACCAGCAUCGGCCAAGAGCCCACAGAAAGUCCGAGCGGCAACCAUCAGGUGCAAACUCCCUGACAGCCUGCCUCCUGCAUCCCCCCUCGGCCCUCACCCCAGACUCGCUGGGGAGGGUGAGACAGACGGUGGGCAGAGCAGGGAAGCAUUGAGACAAGGGCCCAGAAGAACAGGAGGGAGAUAACCCUCGAGGGGGUGGGAGAAAUCUGCUGAGGAGGUGGGGGGUGCCCCUGGCGGCUGGGUUCCAGGACCACAGAGGAAGAGACGGGGAGUUCCAUUUCUGCUCGACUCCCUGCUGCCAGGGGCCGGUACCCCCGGUACCCCCGUGGGGCCCACACGGACAGAAGGCUGGGGAGGGAGCUGGAGGUGCCAUCAGCAGGGGGAGCUCAGCCUGGGGACGGGGGCGGACACAGGCUGGGCAGACCAGAUCCAGGGGAGCAGGACCCUCUGGGCAGGGGGGGGGUGCUGGAGGCGUGUCUGGGGCCAGGGGGUGAGCUUCCCGUCCAGGGGCUUGGGAUCAAGGGACUGACUGUGCCAGUCAGAGUCCCGCAGGGGUUCACAGCCUGGGGAGUCGGGCACGUUGGACCAGUGUUCUCCCAGGGUGCUCUGAGGAGCCUAUGGGCACCACGGGGGACGUCCGUUAGAAAGGCACAGCCUGGACCCCAGCAUGGACCCACUGAACCAGACUCUGAGGACAAAACGUCCCCCACACCUGGUUCUCACGCUCACUGAGGUCUGAGAGCCCCUGGACCACACAGCUGCUGAGGUGUCUUCCCCGGCCUCUGGGUUGUCGUGCAGCCCCCUCGAAGUCGCGUGGAGGGCACAGGACUCGAGAAGGUGGAGAGGGCUCUGUGGAGCCCCGGCCAGCAUCCUGCCAGAGCUUCCCUCAGUCGCCUCUUUCACCCUCACGGUAACCACGAGUAUUUCAGAGUUUUUCACCCCACUGUGCACACGGGGAAACUGAGGCUCGGACACACGGAAUGACUUGCCCAUGACACACACAGCUAGUAAGCAGCAGGAGUGGGGCUGAAAGCUAGGCGUCUCCUGCGUCCAGGACCAGGCCCGGCACCUGGUCACCACAGGACAGCUGUCAACCUGUCGCCAGGCUCCUGGGCUCCCCUGUGCACGGUGUUGGACUAUGCCAGGCUUUCAGGGGGCAGGAGGGCUCGUAGGGGUCCCCAGGUCUGGGUCCCACAAGGGCACAGCUCACCAGUGUUCCAAGUGCUCUCCUGAUGGCUCCCGGAGGGAGGCAGGGAGGCUGGGCGGAGAGCGUGAGGCUCAGGGAUGGCCACGCAGGACUCUGGACGUAGUGGAGUCACGUGGUCGGGCCUCACUUUAGCCUGAGCCGGCCCCUGGCCUUGCAGACCGUGACAUGGGAGCCGAGGCAGCCUGGACCCACCUGGCUUGUGGCUGUAACCCUGAAGUCCCACAUCCCCGUCCACACACCCAGAGCCUGCUUGUGGACAAGUACAGUCAGGAAAGAGGGAGGGGAGGCGUCAAAAAAGCCUAGGCCCCUGUCCUGGCUCGGUGCCUCUGCAUGCUGGGCGACUUUGGCCCGGGUACCUGCCUUCUCUGAGCCUCCGUUGGCUCAUCUGCAAAAUGGAGCCAAUGGUCGAAGGAUAUGUUUGAGAGUGUCAGGAAGGCCCCGUCCAAGGAAACUGUCCAAUGACUUCAGUCCCCCGCCCCAUGGUCUCUGAAGCCCCUCCCAGCUUCCAGGCCACCGGACAGCAGAGACCCAGCCCCACACCUACCAGCAGGAUGUCGGCAACCACCGCCCAGUUGCAGGACAGAAGCAGCUCCCCGAGGGCCAGGAGCACCUGUGGACAAGGACCCUGGUCACCGACCCUCCCUGCCUGGUCUCUUCCCGCCUGCAGAGAGAGACCGAGGCCGCACAGAGAAGGGCGCCAUCAGAUCUGCUGGGGGAGGCGAGGCCUGAGCUGCGUCUUCGGUUCCAGCAGCCUCCAGGGUGGGCAGACAUUCCCGUCUGGGCGGGCUGGCAGCCAUGACCCAGAGGAGAGCGCCAGGCCCCGGGCCUGGGAACAGACUGCUCCCUGAUGGACGGCCCCCAGGCCCAGCUGCUGAGGUCCCCCAUGGGGCCCCAGGAAGAGGCAGCCAGGACUUCUGGGCCACUUGAAAGCUGGGAAAACAGACUGGAGAGGAGAGAGGCCCAGGGACUGAAUAGUUUGCUCACCCCUCCUGUGUUCCCCUAAGGCCUGCAUACGCUGAUAAGGUACACACAGUGGGCCAGCCUACCUGCCUGGCCCGGGCACCCCAUCUACAGCCCCUCCCAGGCUACCUCCUUCCCAGGCCCCUCGAGCAGCACAGGGGAGGCCAGCAAGGCCGAGCCGGGGGCAGGGCCAAGGUUUCCCAGAGGUCACCGGCUGGCCCAGGGCAAAGCCAGCCUGGAGCGUGACUCCUGGGCCCUGGCCAGCGGCCCACCCCCUUCCCCGAUACCUGUGGGGCUGGUUUAACUCUGUGUGCCCCCCUCCCUGCCCCACUGUCUGCCGGGGACCAGGGGCCACUGUGGGCCUGCCCCACCCAGCAACCUGGGUCCCUGCCUCUGCAGAGGAUUGGGACAAUCCUCAUUCCCCUUGCUCAGGAAGAGUUUAAUGAAGCGGCAAGAAGGGGAAAAAAGGCAUUUCUCAGAGCUUCCAGGAGCUUAUGCUGGAGUGGAAUUAGUCAUUCCUGGAGUCACGGGGCUGUGCUGGGGCGGCCCAGGCUCUGGUCCCCAAAGGCCCGUGACACUCAGGGCAGAGGAAGUGAGGGAGCCCGGUCACCUGCCACGUACCGGGCACGUCCGCUCUCGCGACAUCCACCCA